UGGGGAAUAUUGGACAAUGGGCGAAAGCCUGAUCCAGCCAUGCCGCGUGUGUGAAGAAGGUCUUCGGAUUGUAAAGCACUUUAAGUUGGGAGGAAGGGCAGUAAGCGAAUACCUUGCUGUUUUGAUGUUACCGACAGAAUAAGCACCGGCUAACUCUGUGCCAGCAGCCGCGGUAAUACAGAGGGUGCAAGCGUUAAUCGGAAUUACUGGGCGUAAAGCGCGCGGAGGUGGUUCGUUAAGUUGAAUGUGAAAGCCCCGGGCUCAAACUGGGAACUGCCAUCAAAAAUGGCUAGCUGGAGUAGGGCAGAGGGUGGUGGAAAUUCCUGUGUAGCGGUGAAAUGCGUAGAUAUAGGAAGGAAAACCAGUGGCGAAGGCGACCACCUGGGAUCAUACUGACACUGAGGUGCGAAAGCGUGGGGAGCAAACAGG
Molecule: ribosomal RNA, 429 nt
Filed under: Pseudomonadota bacterium
Lineage: Bacteria; Pseudomonadati; Pseudomonadota
Description: Proteobacteria bacterium partial 16S ribosomal RNA
Rfam family: Bacterial small subunit ribosomal RNA
Source: RNAcentral